UACCUCCAUUACUUGUCUAGUUGAUGUGCA
This 30-nucleotide non-coding RNA is filed under the name Homo sapiens (human). Lineage: Eukaryota; Metazoa; Chordata; Mammalia; Primates; Hominidae. The record is from RNAcentral.